UUUGUAGAUCUAUUGUAGUUUGCACAUGCUUUAUUUUAAUUUUUCUUUUUACAAGUUUAUUGGUAUAUGUAACACGUUUCUCGAUCGGUUUGAUAUGGCAUUCACUACACCGUAAAUUUCGAACUUUGUUUACUUGUUUUUUCAGACUUAUGAGUAUUAUGAGGAUCUUCUCGGCAAGAAAAUCGGCGAUAGAAAUAAAAGAAUUAGACAUUAACCAUCUCUCAGUAGAUUAGGCUACAUAACCACACAUAAUAAUCGUACUCUGGAGUGAUGCGUGAGUUUUCGUACUUUGGCGGCAUCAUCCCAAUAACCCCCCGUAACCAUCACAUUUGAUAGAAGAACAUAAGUUGCAUGAUUAUUUGGUCAUAACUCCAGGAGCUUCUCUGCAGAACAUAGAGCAAUUUCCUUGUUUCCAUGAACACGACAAGCUUUUAGCAGAGCGUUGUAGACAGAUGGUCCUGGGUCUAUUGGCAUACUAUUGAUAAUGGCUUCAGCCACCUUAAGAUUCCCAGCUCGACCAAAAUGAUCAACGAUUGUAGCAUAAUGUUCCAGGAAUGAUGAAGGG
Long non-coding RNA from Juglans microcarpa x Juglans regia, 565 nucleotides. RefSeq lists it as uncharacterized. The record is from RefSeq and is a predicted model, not a curated record. NCBI's taxonomy places the organism in Eukaryota, Viridiplantae, Streptophyta, Magnoliopsida, Fagales, Juglandaceae. The transcript has 3 exons.